GGAUGAACGCUAGCGGCAGGCUUAAUACAUGCAAGUCGAACGGGAUUCGGGGUAGCAAUACUUUGAUGAGAGUGGCGCACGGGUGCGUAACGCGUAUGCAACCUACCUUUAACAGGGGAAUAGCCCCGAGAAAUCGGGAUUAAUACUCCGUAACAUUGCGGUGUGGCAUCACACUGCACUUAAAGCUGAGGCGGUUAAAGAUGGGCAUGCGUGACAUUAGCUAGUUGGUGAGGUAACGGCUCACCAAGGCAACGAUGUCUAGGGGUCCUGAGAGGGUUAUCCCCCACACUGGUACUGAGACACGGACCAGACUCCUACGGGAGGCAGCAGUAAGGAAUAUUGGUCAAUGGGCGCAAGCCUGAACCAGCCAUGCCGCGUGCAGGAAGACGGCCCUAUGGGUUGUAAACUGCUUUUGUCAGGGAAUAAACCCCCGCUCGUGAGCGGGGCUGAAGGUACCUGAAGAAUAAGCAUCGGCUAACUCCGUGCCAGCAGCCGCGGUAAUACGGAGGAUGCAAGCGUUAUCCGGAUUCAUUGGGUUUAAAGGGUGCGCAGGCGGAUUGGUAAGUCAGGGGUGAAAUCCCACAGCUCAACUGUGGAACUGCCUUUGAUACUGUCAGUCUAGAGUAUAGUUGAAGUUGGCGGAAUGUGUCAUGUAGCGGUGAAAUGCUUAGAUAUGACACAGAACACCGAUCGCGAAGGCAGCUAGCUAAGCUAUAACUGACGCUCAUGCACGAAAGCGUGGGGAUCAAACA
This 752-nucleotide ribosomal RNA is filed under the name bacterium enrichment culture clone B1-6. RNAcentral describes it as "bacterial SSU rRNA". It matches the Rfam family "Bacterial small subunit ribosomal RNA", at positions 27 to 774 of the family's 1533-position model. The record is from RNAcentral.